This 705-nucleotide long non-coding RNA is filed under the name Phoenix dactylifera (date palm). RNAcentral's name for it is "long non-coding RNA (PDAC_LNC007478)". Lineage: Eukaryota; Viridiplantae; Streptophyta; Magnoliopsida; Arecales; Arecaceae. The record is from RNAcentral.
CCGCCCGCCUCCUCUUCCGCUGGCACCACUCCUCCCCCCUCUCCAAGUUCGCCUUCUGGGCCGAACAUGAGUUUCUGGUCCUGCUGAGCGUCGAGGGUGUGAAGCAGAGAGAAGAGGACACGCCGGAGAGAGUGGGGGUGGGGGGAAAGGGGGUGUAUGAGUAUGAGGCGUUGGCGGGAGAGAAGAGCACACGCCGGAGGCCCUAACCAUCCCAGGAAAACAGUAAAAUCAGAAGUAUCAAGUAGGGACCCUAACCUGAGAGCCGACGACGACGAGCCUCCACGCCUCCACCGGACCCUAGACGAAGAAGACGAUGGUCGACGACGACGACGAGCUCUGGCCCUCUGCAAAUCGCGCUUCAGCAAGAGUGCAAGAUGGCUAGGGCUGGAGCCUGGAAGUCGGCAACCUUGAUAAAAUGGGUAGAAUAGUUUUAAAAUCCCCAAAUGCAAUUCGGGCCCUAAACCGGUUAGUCCCAAAUGCAAUUCGGGCCGUGAAUUUGGGCUUGGUUCGGGCUGUCAUUGGGCUCGGGCUUGGUCCGGGCCCGGGCCGGGCCAAUGGGAAACCCGAGCCCGGCCCGAAAUAAAAUUGGGCUUAAGUUUGCAGCCCGAGCCUGGCCCGAAAUUCAUUGGGUCGAGCCCAUAGCCCGGCCCGCAGGCGGCCCAGCCCGAUGGGCUUCGGGCCGGCCCGAGCCCACUUCCAGCCCUA